AAGAGAGCCGGUGAAAUUUAAGUUAGUAACACAUGUCACGCAUAUAACCGUUUUGCCGAACUAAAUGCCCCUCAAAGUAUGCAAUCAGAGUGAGUCAUGCUUUCUCGCUCACUCUCACGCGAGAGCGAGAUAAAGUAGAAUCGCAGAACAACGGGCGAAUCGAUCGUCAAAAAGGUUUGCUCUCGAUCGUCGUCCUCGACCCCUCGAUACUAACCAUGAUCGGCGUGAUUGUUUCCAUCGUUGGCUUUGCUCCCCUUCUGGUUUUUGCUCGCUGUCGUGCUUCCAUCGCUGUUUUUGCUUCCUUUGGGCUUCCGUUUGCGCGACUGUAAAACAACAAAAUGCCAGCGGACGGUUAACGUUGUGCAGCUUGUAGUAUAGCCCGCAAGCGUUACAUACCGGUUCACCGACCUGAUUGCGGCGCCAGAGCGAAGUGUUGGUCGUGUUGCAGUUUGAACACUGCAGUCCCGUUCGUCUAGCCG
Anopheles aquasalis is the source of this 479-nucleotide long non-coding RNA. RefSeq lists it as uncharacterized. The record is from RefSeq and is a predicted model, not a curated record. NCBI's taxonomy places the organism in Eukaryota, Metazoa, Arthropoda, Insecta, Diptera, Culicidae.